Molecule: ribosomal RNA, 467 nt
Filed under: uncultured bacterium
Lineage: Bacteria
Description: bacterial SSU rRNA
Rfam family: Bacterial small subunit ribosomal RNA
Source: RNAcentral
GACGAACGCUGGCGGCGUGCCUAACACAUGCAAGUCGAGCGGAGACAGCGAGUAGCAAUACGAACUGUUUAGCGGCGGACGGGUGAGUAACGCGUGAGCAACCUGUCCCAAACAGGGGGAUAACGAACCGAAAGGUUCACUAAUACCGCAUAAGACCACAGAGUCACAUGGCUCAGGGGUCAAAGGAGAAAUCCGGUUUGGGGUGGGCUCGCGUCUGAUUAGCUAGUUGGUGGGGUAACGGCCUACCAAGGCGACGAUCAGUAGCCGACCUGAGAGGGUGAUCGGCCACAUUGGAACUGAGACACGGUCCAAACUCCUACGGGAGGCAGCAGUGGGGAAUAUUGGGCAAUGGGCGAAAGCCUGACCCAGCAACGCCGCGUGAAGGAAGAAGGUUUUCGGAUCGUAAACUUCUAUCCUUGGUGAAGAUAAUGACGGUAGCCAAGAAGGAAGCCCCGGCUAACUACGUG